This 464-nucleotide long non-coding RNA is filed under the name Sus scrofa (pig). RNAcentral describes it as "lncRNA (ENSSSCG00070007201.1)". The record is from RNAcentral. Lineage: Eukaryota; Metazoa; Chordata; Mammalia; Artiodactyla; Suidae.
CUUUUAUUAUUUUCAUUUUACAGAUAAAGAAACUAAUGCUGAGAGAAGUUAAAUAAUAUGCUCAAGGACAUACAAGUUAUAUGGCAGAGCUGGGAUUCCCUUCAGUAAUUCAACUUUAUGUCCUAAACCUUAAUCAUUAUGUUCCUGGAUACGCAGUACUUCCUAACACAGAAACUAAACCCUGGUAGGAAAAGGUUAAGAUCUCAAGGAAGACAAGACUUGGGCCAAGGCAGAUUGAGGGGAGAUGUCAAUACUCAGAGAAACCACAGCCACAGAAUUAUAAGGACUUGAAGGACCAUUUACAACUCUGGUGGCUUUUCUGAGCUUUGUUGAGUAAAAGGCAAGGAAACAUGACAUCGCAGAGGUCCUUACGGUACAGAGAAAAAGGAUUCUCAUACAAGCUGCUUAGAAGAACAAAUUACUGCUAAUUACCAGGAUGUUUAAUGGAGAUCAAUCUGAUAGUU